GACUUGGUAACGCAGCUAACGCGUGAAGUAGACCGCCUGGGGAGUACGGUCGCAAGAUUAAAACUCAAAGGAAUUGACGGGGACCCGCACAAGCGGUGGAUGAUGUGGAUUAAUUCGAUGCAACGCGAAAAACCUUACCUACCCUUGACAUGGCUGGAAUCCCUGAGAGAUCGGGGAGUGCUCGAAAGAGAACCAGUACACAGGUGCUGCAUGGCUGUCGUCAGCUCGUGUCGUGAGAUGUUGGGUUAAGUCCCGCAACGAGCGCAACCCUUGUCAUUAGUUGCUACGAAAGGGCACUCUAAUGAGACUGCCGGUGACAAACCGGAGGAAGGUGGGGAUGACGUCAAGUCCUCAUGGCCCUUAUGGGUAGGGCUUCACACGUCAUACAAUGGUACAUACAGAGGGCCGCCAACCCGCGAGGGGGAGCUAAUCCCAGAAAGUGUAUCGUAGUCCGGAUUGUAGUCUGCAACUCGACUACAUGAAGUUGGAAUCGCUAGUAAUCGCGGAUCAGCAUGUCGCGGUGAAUACGUUCCCGGGUCUUGUACACACCGCCCGUCACACCAUGGGAGCGGGUUUUACCAGAAGUAGGUAGCUUAACCGCAAGGAGGGCGCUUACCACGGUAGGAUUCGUGACUCGGGGUG
Molecule: ribosomal RNA, 642 nt
Filed under: uncultured soil bacterium
Lineage: Bacteria
Description: bacterial SSU rRNA
Rfam family: Bacterial small subunit ribosomal RNA
Source: RNAcentral